Non-coding RNA from Triticum aestivum (bread wheat), 69 nucleotides. NCBI's taxonomy places the organism in Eukaryota, Viridiplantae, Streptophyta, Magnoliopsida, Poales, Poaceae. The record is from Rfam.
GUCGCGAUCAGAUAGGUAUCUAUCCGGAUGAAAAUCCGGAAAGCGCUGGUUCAAUCCCGGCUCGUGACA